UAGGGAAUCUUCCACAAUGGGCGCAAGCCUGAUGGAACAACACCGCGUGAGUGAAGAAGGGUUUCGGCUCGUAAAGCUCUGUUGUUGGAGAAGAACGUGCGUGAGAGUAACUGUUCACGCAGUGACGGUAUCCAACCAGAAAGUCACGGCUAACUACGUGCCAGCAGCCGCGGUAAUACGUAGGUGGCAAGCGUUAUCCGGAUUUAUUGGGCGUAAAGCGAGCGCAGGCGGUUGCUUAGGUCUGAUGUGAAAGCCUUCGGCUUAACCGAAGAAGUGCAUCGGAAACCGGGCGACUUGAGUGCAGAAGAGGACAGUGGAACUCCAUGUGUAGCGGUGGAAUGCGUAGAUAUAUGGAAGAACACCAGUGGCGAAGGCGGCUGUCUGGUCUGCAACUGACGCUGAGGCUCGAAAGCAUGGGUAGCGAACAGGAUUAGAUACCCUGGUAGUCCAUGCCGUAAACGAUGAGUGCUAGGUGUUGGAGGGUUUCCGCCCUUCAGUGCCGGAGCUAACGCAUUAAGCACUCCGCCUGGGGAGUACGACCGCAAGGUUGAAACUCAAAGGAAUUGACGGGGGCCCGCACAAGCGGUGGAGCAUGUGGUUUAAUUCGAAGCUACGCGAAGAACCUUACCAGGUCUUGACAUCUUGCGCUAACCUAAGAGAUUAGGCGUUCCCUUCGGGGACGCAAUGACAGGUGGUGCAUGGUCGUCGUCAGCUCGUGUCGUGAGAUGUUGGGUUAAGUCCCGCAACGAGCGCAACCCUUGUUACUAGUUGCCAGCAUUUAGUUGGGCACUCUAGUGAGACUGCCGGUGACAAACCGGAGGAAGGUGGGGACGACGUCAGAUCAUCAUGCCCCUUAUGACCUGGGCUACACACGUGCUACAAUGGACGGUACAACGAGUUGCGAACUCGCGAGAGUAAGCUAAUCUCUUAAAGCCGUUCUCAGUUCGGACUGUAGGUUGCAACUCGCCUACACGAAGUCGGAAUCGCUAGUAAUCGCGGAUCAGCAUGCCGCGGUGAAUACGUUCCCGGGCCU
This 1033-nucleotide ribosomal RNA is filed under the name unidentified. Its description in RNAcentral is "bacterial SSU rRNA". It matches the Rfam family "Bacterial small subunit ribosomal RNA", at positions 355 to 1381 of the family's 1533-position model. The record is from RNAcentral. RNAcentral also lists the same sequence under 1 other name.